This 5453-nucleotide long non-coding RNA is filed under the name Lactuca sativa (garden lettuce). RNAcentral's name for it is "long non-coding RNA (LSAT_LNC005744)". The record is from RNAcentral. Lineage: Eukaryota; Viridiplantae; Streptophyta; Magnoliopsida; Asterales; Asteraceae.
CUCUCUCUGCUCUCUCUGUCUCUCUCUCUCUCUCUCUCUCAUGGUUACUUUGACUAGUAUUUUUUUUGAUCAUCAUCUUAUCACUACUAGAAACUUGACCUACAGUGAUGGAAUUUGCGACAGAUUCUAUCUGUAGCUAAUUAGUGACAAUUUACUGAGGGAUCAGCGACGAUACCAACAAAUAUUUCGAUCAAAAUAAAUAUAGUAUUUUAGUAAGGUAUUACUGAGGGAUCAACGAUGGAUUGUCAAGAUUUUAUCGAUAAAAAACCGUCCCUCGCUAGACCGUCGUGAAGUAAAACCUCCUAGUGAGGGAACAACGACCGAUUGCAAAAAUUAGAGGCCUUUUUUUCUUAACCCUCGCCAAACCCUCGCAGAAUAUCUACGACUCCUUUUUUUCAUCCCCCACUUUUCUUUCUUUUCUUGUUCCCUCUUUUUAUUCUCAUUCCCUCUAAAUUCUUCACAAAGCGAACAAUUUCCUCCCAAAGCCUUAAAUGACCGUCAAGUCUCUCCUCCGCCCCGGAAAUCGCCUCCACCAUAGUCAACCCUCAUCGCUCAUCUUUGAAGCCUUUGAAAGGAAAGCCUAAUCAAAAAUCACAUCCUCGUUGGCUUUCCUCUCGGUCCGUCUCCCUUUCUUGUUGACUCGCCACUUAAUUCCCAGUUAACGCCUUUCGAUCUAUUGGUUCAUCAUAUACUGUUGAUUUAGAUCGUACAACUGCACAUCAGCAACAACGACGUCGAUCACCAGCAGUGUCGAUCACCUGAUAGGGUAGCGGCGGCGGUUCUGUUGGUGAUCCUAAUCCUAGCCAAUUUCCCAAAUCACCUGUAAAUUUUAGAAAAACUUGAGUUUUGAAUUAAGUUUGGUAAUUGUGUUGAAUUUAAUUUUAGAUUUAUGGAUUGUUGAAUCUGGUAUGGACUUUGGCAAAUUUCCGUUGAUUUACUCUGGUUCUUUGCAUUCGAUUGCAAGUAAAUCAACUUACUACAGGCGAAGAUUAAAACUACAUCUUCAGAAAAUUAGGCUACACAGGAUGACAAAUAGAAAAUCAUUACCAACUCUAAGCUUUUACAGGCUCCAUUUUUCUUUAUUUUCACACUUUCCUUCCUUGGGGUUGAGAAAUUUCUGAGAUUUUUUUGUUUGUAUAGAAUAAACUUUAGAUUGACUCAUAACUAACUAGUCUCCAUUGAAAUUUUUUGCUUCAAUUCUCAUUUUUUGGUGGAAUUUUUGUAAUUACUAAAAUACAUUAUUUUUAGUUUCAAAGUAAGGGAAGAGUAAUAUUUCCAUUUAUUCAUCAAAAGAAACGUCCCUUUUGAACCAAGAAUGGAUUUUCCUUGAUACCUACUGAAAUUGCCAUAUGCACGGGCGAAGAAAAGCCUAUAUCUGGGUCUGCGUCAACAAGUUAUGAUUCCUUUACUGAAGAAUUCAAGCUCUUCAACAUGGGUUUAGUUCAUACAUUAUGAAAGCUUUCCUAUUCAAGACCUACUACCAAUUCCUUUGAAGCUACUACCACUACCGAAGCUNCAGGGACAACUGCCAGCAAUUGAAAGAAAGUUGCGAACAGACCCUGCCUUCUAGCAUUCAUGCCUCAUCUUUCAGAGAACAAUGUAUGUUGGCGGUUCUAUUGAUGACUAUCUUAUGAAGGUAUACAUUCCUUUAUCCUAAUGAAGGUAAAUUUACUUUCUUUUAGUCAUGUCUUCCAUCUAAUUUCACAAGAAACAAAAUAAUAAAUUUUCCAUAAUAAAUAAAAUAAAAUAAAUAAAAUUGUAAACUUACAGUUGGCAACCAUGGGAGGUGGUUGAAAAGAUCCCAAUGAUCCAACCCCAUAAUCAACAACCUGCCUUUGUUCUUCUAAUUCUUUUUGCACCAAUUUUCCAUAACCCCCCCUAUGUUUGACCAGUUAAGGAAACCUUAACCAAAAUUCCAUCUACUUAUAUUUUCACUUAAUGGGUUAAAUAUAAGGGUGAUAUGGUAAUUUAGUCUCUCAUCCAGACCCUUAUUCAGUCUAAGACUAAAUAAACCGUCUGAAUUAGACCAAGCGACCAUUUUACCCUUACAUUCCAAAAAACAAACUUCAUAUCAAUCUUAACAAAUUUUAACAUGAGAGGAGAAGGGAAAAUAGGUAUAGUUAACUCAUUUAGUAAAAAAAGAAAAGGAUAUCAGGAUCACAAUUUGUAAGAUAUUAUUUACAAGGAAUGCCACUCAUUCUCCUGAAAGCCCUCAGAAGUUGAGAAGGGCAAUUUAGACAAUUUGAAACAUGAAGUUGUUAGGAAAUGUGAUUUCCACAAAAAGUUUUUAAGGGUUCUCCCAUUUACCAGAAUUUCCAGAUUGUAUCUACACAGAAAUUUAGUGAUGCAUGGAAGGUGAUUCUCAGUUUUAUUUAUGACACAAUUUUAUAUCAUUCUGACAUAAAUUUAUUUUUGGUUUCUAGUUUUUUAGAGCACUUCCAGAACUUGGUUUGAAAGGAAAGACUUGUGUAUUGGUAUUAUUUUCUCCAUAUUUAUAAGUUUGUUUUUACUUUUUAGAGCCUUUUCAGGGGGAAAUUAUUAACUAAAGGGGUGUUUGGCUUGUCUUUUGAGAGGCAAAAGUCCUUUUUGGAAAAGUUACAAAAAGUCAGGUUUUCCUAACUUUUCCAAAAAGUCAGUUUUCCUUCUAUCUAAAAUCCAAAAGGAGCUUCUAAAAUGUUUCUACCAAACAUCUUUUACAUUUUAUCUUUUCCAAAAAGGACUUUUAUCCAUAAAAAAGACAAGCCAAACACCCUCUAAAUAGUUAAUAAUUUACAUGUACCGUGCACACGCUAGUAGGACUAGGAAGGGUAAAAUAGUCCAACAAAAGACUUUAGCUUUAUAUUGCAUUCUUUUUUCUUUUAAACCAAAACCUCUUAAUUUGUGUCCGUAUUCCAUAUCACAUGAAAAAUUAGUUUUAUUCUUAAUAAGCAACCCUCGGUCUUUCCUGUUGAAUGUCCUUGAAGUCAUUCUAACUAAUACUUUGCAAAAUACAACUAUACCCUUGUUUAUAAUUACAUGACUAAAUUCAUGUUCAAAGGCUAGCUCUUUGGUUUGUUCACGUGAUUGUCAUCCUGAUGCUAUUCUCCAUCAAGUACAAUUCAACAAGGCUAACAAAAUUGCAUAUUAUUCUGAAUUGCAUAAGUAUCAUACUAAGUAUGUCUGUUAUGUUCAUUCUCAUUCAAUAUAUAUUUUAUUUUUUACCACUCUUAUCUUGUUGAUAAUAACUUUUUUUGGGCAAAAUGAUAGGAAAUCUAAAAUUAUGGAAAGAAAGAUGGGAAGCUUUGUGAAUCCUGAAAACGAGUUUACAGAAAAGAUACUAAGGUAAAUUGUUCUUUUUAUUACUUUUACUUUCAUAUUUGUCAGCAUUUGCUUUCCAGAAUUUGAUUUCUAGAGUUCUUGGGUGGUACCUAUAAUUGUAUUGAUAAGGUUGGUUGCAUGCGAUCAAAAAAGGACCAAUAGCACUAGAGACCAUGAAGGUUAGUUCUGUAAUUUUCUUCCUAAUUAAAAUUUAUGCAUCCAUUUUUAUAGAUGCUUAUAGUGCUAUUAGUUUUGGUGUGGUAGAUGGCACAUAAUGGUCAAUACAAAUGUUGAAAGAUCAAACCCCAAAAGAGAAAUUUCUAAAGACCAAUAUGCAAACACGAUAUUUUCUUUCACCAACAUGUUUUUUCAUAUAUUUAUUGGUCAGAAUCAGAAUUCAAUUGCAUUCUAGUCCUGCAUUUAGUUUAGUUUCAAAUGAGUUAUGAGUAGACAAUAAUGUCCUUCAUCAAUAGAAAAAACAUACUUCCAACAAACACCAUGUCUCCUUCCAUUGCAGGAAAAAGUAAGUCGAACUUUGUUCGCCUAAUUCCAUGGGAUUUACCAGGAAUAGGAAUCGGAAUCCAAUUCCAUUAUGAUUCUUCUUUCGGAUGCAAGAUAUGAAGCAAUGGAGAAGAUGUAUGUGGAAAUGCAAAAUAUGAAAAGAAAUUGAGAUUUUUGUAAAUUAUACUUGGAAAUAAAAUAUCAAUCAAUAUUAAACUUUGAUAUUUGAUGAUUUUGAUCGUUUUGGUAAACAUUGAUAUUUGAUGUUUUUGGAUGUUUUGUUAAAAUUUGAUAGUUGAUUUUGGUAUUUUAAUGUUAGUGUUUGGUUUUGAGUUGUAUAAUUAUUUGAUGUUUUUGGUAUUUUAUUAUUGUUUAGUUUGAGAUUGUAUAAUUAUUUGAUGUUUUUAGUAUUUUUUUGUUUUAGAUUUGUAAUAAAAAAAUGUAUAUUAUAUAUUUGCUAGGGAUCAGCGGAAACAAAAAAAAUCACAUCUAAAAUUUGCUAGGGAUCAACGACGGAGUAUAAAAGGACAGAUAUAGAGGUUUGCAAGGGAUUAGCGACCGAAUAUAAAAAGACAAAAAUAGAGUUUUGCAAGGAUUAGCGACCGAAUAUAAAAAGACAAAAAUAGAGUUUUGCAAGGAUUAGCGACCGAAUAUAAAAAGACAAAAAUAGAGUUUUGCAAGGAUUAGCGACCGAAUAUAAAAAGACAAAAAUAGAGUUUUGCAAGGGAUUAGCGACGGAAUAUUUAUUUAGUUUUGUUGUUGAUGUCCUAAAAUAACGGUAUUAAGGGAGCAAUGUGUGAUGGAUAUUCGGUUGCUAAAGUUGUCGCAAGGAAAAUCAAAUCCGUUGCUAAAUCUCUCACUAAGGCAUUAACCACAUUUUAUUUGGCUAUGGAGUAAGUCUCUCACAGAUCCGUCGCAAAAGAUCUUUAGUGACGGAAUGGAGACUGGCUCAUCUGUGGCUAAAACCCAUGUUUCUAGUAGUAUAUGAACCCAAAUCACUUAAUUUUCAGUUUGAUUCAUGUGCAUUUCUCCAAAAGUUUGUUAUGGUAAUCGUCUUUUUCAAAUAAUUACAUUCGAUUUGAGAUUUUAGGGAUAAAGAUAACGGUCAUGGUUUCUUCCAAGAAGAGACCAGAACACACAUUACAUUGAAGACAUGAAAAAGGAACCAAAGUAAAGCUUAUAAACAGGAAGAUUAUUCUGACGAAUGGUGCUUCGUCUGCAAAGAUGUUGAAGAUUUAAUUGCUUGUGACCACAAAUGAGUUUCCGAAAACUAUUUCAAAUAGGUUUGUCACACAUUUGGUCCAAGAAAGUGAAAGGAUUUGACAAGUUUUCAUACGUUUACAAUAACAUUCAUGACAAAAUCAUCAGAUCCUAAAGUCCUUAACCAAGAGAAAUACGAUAAUGCCAAGAGAAACAUGUGACCUGACUUAACCAUGUUUAGAAACAAAUGAACUGACCUUAAUUAGUUUGACCGGAAUUGAGCGGUUUCUUAGAACAAGAGAUAAGUGGCAAAGAGCUAAGGCGGAGUCAUGACGGCGGCAGCGGCCUGAAUCCUCGGAUUUUAACGACCCUUCUUGAGUUAAUAGCAACGAUAAAUGGAGGAGGAAUUGUUUCUAAAAGGAAACCAGGUUAAUGAUCUUCAAAUGGUGAGAAAC